CUCCUGAAGCCUGGUGCUAGGCACGGGGGCAGGGGAACCUCCGGCAGACGGGGCAGGCACAGCCCCCUCCCUGCCCAGGCGCACGCAGGCUGGGCAGUCGCUCCGUGCCCCGGCUCAGAGGGGUGACCCCGGUGCCAGGUUCCCCUCAGCCCCCUUCCGUAUCCCGAGGGCGGUAAUGCGGCUCCUGCACCCCAGCAGCCAGCGGGCCCGGGAGCCUCAGCUGCGGGCAGGAUCGAAGUGAUGUGGAGAGCCCUGCCUGCCCCGGUGGUACGGGGGCUGUAGUCAGGAGGCAAGGAGGAGCAAAGGAGGAGAAUAUUGCCUCAUCUUCUGCUCACAACAAGCCCAGGCCACCUGGCAUGGGAGCGGGAUGGGCAUAGCAGGGAGCAUGUGAAUCACCUCGGACGUGCAGUUCUGUGAAGAAGAGCUGUGUGUUUGUGUUGGAAGUGCUGUAAUGUUUGGCACACUGAGACUUCUACCUGCUCACCACGACUGGUAUUCCCUGUUCUGCAAGACGGGGAGAAAAGGAGCAUAUACAAUGAAACGGAUCCUUGGAUUUUGGAUCUUGAGGUGACCUUGACUCCACAAAUCUCCUGAACAAUUAAACUACAGAACAGUUGAUUGCUUCUUUGUUUGUGUGGCAAUAGAUUAUGGAAUAAGA
Passer montanus (Eurasian tree sparrow) is the source of this 658-nucleotide long non-coding RNA. RefSeq lists it as uncharacterized. The transcript is spliced from 3 exons. The record is from RefSeq and is a predicted model, not a curated record. Lineage: Eukaryota; Metazoa; Chordata; Aves; Passeriformes; Passeridae.